Molecule: long non-coding RNA, 486 nt
Organism: Solanum tuberosum (potato)
Lineage: Eukaryota; Viridiplantae; Streptophyta; Magnoliopsida; Solanales; Solanaceae
Exons: 2
Source: RefSeq, a predicted model, not a curated record
GUGGAGUCAAUGUCAUUGCCGCUGUGGUUUCUAUUUACUAUGUUGAUAAAUUGGGAAUGAGACUCUUGUUUCUUGAAGGGGGAGUUCAAAUGCUCUUUUGCCAAAGAUGCAGGAGUCCAAGGCAACUGUCGGGCCAUUUGAGUGCACACAAGAUGCAUUGGACAAGAUGCCAUUUGAGUGCAUACAAACUAAUAAGGGUGGAACAACACUUUUGAAGUACUACUGAUGAAUUUAUUCAGGCUAAUAGGUUUUUUUGUUUCAAGUUUGAAUGAUGAAUGAUAGACACAAGUGAUAAAUCUAUUCAUUUUUCUAGGAGCAAAAUGUAGACAAAACACAUUGUUUGUGCUCCUUUUUUUUUUGGUGAAUUUCAAAGUUAAUUUUCACUUAGAUGUAUACAAAUGGUAGUGAUGGGGCUACUGGUUCUUACCUAUGAAGCUAUGGUUGCAAUGAAUUUUAUGGGAAGAGUUAGGCACGUGUAAUUUUGAA